AUGGGCUGCUCAAAAACCAAAAUAAUGCUGUGAAUUGAUCUUUGAAAAUACAGCCAGGUGAACAAAAUGUACGUUUUAACCGCUUCAAAGGAUCCGUGUGAUGCAGCAGGGAGGCAGCACGCCUUUCAGUUCCGCCCACAGGUGACACCGGGACUGGGAGAGCCGCAGAGGAGGGCCAGCUGCUGCAGCGAUCAAUCUCAGCAUCAAUGACUGCAGACUGCUAUGAAGUGCAGGCGAGAUAUUCGAUCAUCAAUGAGGGACCUUGUGGGUUCUCACUCGAAUAUCGGGAUUGAUUCAUCUUCAAAGAAAUCUUAAGUGGCUCGGUGCAUUUGCUGUAAUGGUUUUUGUUGACUAAAGCUUUUUUUCUCAAACCAUGAUCACCCCCCUCCCUUUAUAAAAAGCCUUCAAACUUCCGUUUUGAGAAAUUGCUUUGCCUUCCUUGGUGCUGCUUGUGAUUUCUUUUGUUUUCGUUUAUUGAUAAAACAGAUCUGUGUGUGUCUGUGUGUCUUGAUCAUUUACAUUUUGGUUAAGAUAUCAUUACAUAUACAUGCAAAAACAGCAGGGAUUCUCAACACAACUGCUCACGAG
This 588-nucleotide long non-coding RNA is filed under the name Lepisosteus oculatus (spotted gar). RNAcentral's name for it is "lncRNA (ENSLOCG00000023313.1)". The record is from RNAcentral. Lineage: Eukaryota; Metazoa; Chordata; Actinopteri; Semionotiformes; Lepisosteidae.